Molecule: ribosomal RNA, 446 nt
Filed under: uncultured organism
Description: partial 16S ribosomal RNA
Rfam family: Bacterial small subunit ribosomal RNA
Source: RNAcentral
ACUCCUGCGGGAGGCAGCAGUGGGGAAUAUUGGACAAUGGGCGCAAGCCUGAUCCAGCCAUGCCGCGUGAGUGAUGAAGGCCCUAGGGUUGUAAAGCUCUUUCACCGGUGAAGAUAAUGACGGUAACCGGAGAAGAAGCCCCGGCUAACUUCGUGCCAGCAGCCGCGGUAAUACGAAGGGGGCUAGCGUUGUUCGGAUUUACUGGGCGUAAAGCGCACGUAGGCGGACUAUUAAGUCAGGGGUGAAAUCACGGGGCUCAACCCCGGAACUGCCUUUGAUACUGGUAGUCUUGAGUUCGAGAGAGGUGAGUGGAAUUCCGAGUGUAGAGGUGAAAUUCGUAGAUAUUCGGAGGAACACCAGUGGCGAAGGCGGCUCACUGGCUCGAUACUGACGCUGAGGUGCGAAAGCGUGGGGAGCAAACAGGAUUAGAUACCCCUGUAGUCCCA